GUGGAAUUGCAGCAUGGUCUUCUGAGGAUGAACGGAUCUCAGGUGAGUUUGAUAUCUCCGCCAUUGGAGGGUUUCGAUGAGAUGCUGUUGCCACAUCUCCUUGAAUAGCAGCUGAUUGAUGAGCUCUCAUCUCGCUGAUCUCAACUACCAAACCCAAUGGACGUCUAUCAAAUGCGCGCAAGCUUUUUGAUUUCUUGUACACCCGACACAGG
Molecule: unclassified non-coding RNA, 212 nt
Filed under: Hevea brasiliensis (rubber tree)
Lineage: Eukaryota; Viridiplantae; Streptophyta; Magnoliopsida; Malpighiales; Euphorbiaceae
Source: RNAcentral